Felis catus (domestic cat) is the source of this 841-nucleotide long non-coding RNA. RefSeq lists it as uncharacterized. The record is from RefSeq and is a predicted model, not a curated record. NCBI's taxonomy places the organism in Eukaryota, Metazoa, Chordata, Mammalia, Carnivora, Felidae. The transcript has 3 exons.
AAUGUGCAGUGGUGCACUUCCGCCCUUGACCUAGCCGCUCUGCCGGGCACGGAGGCCCAGCUUGAUUUCAACUCCCCGGUGACAUAAACAACGCAUUCCGGUGCCUUUCCACCACGCGUGUCUGUGGCAGCAAGGCAUCUGAGCGAAGAUUCCACCCCAAACAAAAGCAAAGGGCCGGCACGCGAGGAGGCAGAGCCUUCAUCUUGAUGGUAACAGCCUGAAACCAGGAAGUGAGAAACAAAAGGAUUUCUAAAAUCAGAACAGAGUCCAUUUACAACUCUAAGUGUGUGGUCAUGGAGAAGAAUCCCCCUCACAUCAGACCUGCAUCACUGGACAGAAGUAUGAACUCAAGGGGGAACAAUUGAGCAUCUCUGGUCUCAUGCUGCCACUGAUUAGCCGUAAGACAUAAUGAAAGGCACUUACUUUCUCUUCACCUCAGUUUUAUGAGCUGUAAAAUGAAGAUAAUAAUACCUGCUCUUACCUAUUUUCUAGAUUGUAAUAAGGGUAGAACGAGACAUGGAAUAAAUAUGUUAUGGCUAUAAAAUAUCAGGUAAAAAUCAAUGUUUUAUUGUUAAACAGGCCUGAUUCCCCUCCCCCAAAUAACUUCAAACUUUUAACAUCAGCUCCGAGUUGAGAAGUAAGGUUGCAAAAUAGGUUUACUGCACGUAUUGUCAAAUACUAUGGCUGCCAUCCAGAAGCAAGGAGACAGACGAAUCAAGAGUGAGUGGGUGGGACACCUGGGUGACUGAGUCGGUUAAGUGUCUGACUUUGGCUCAGGUCAUGAUCUCACACUCCGUGAGUUCAAGCCCUGCUUCGGGCUCUGUGCUGAUGGCUCAGAGCC